Molecule: ribosomal RNA, 433 nt
Filed under: uncultured bacterium
Lineage: Bacteria
Description: bacterial SSU rRNA
Rfam family: Bacterial small subunit ribosomal RNA
Source: RNAcentral
UCGAGGAUCUUCGGCAAUGGGCGCAAGCCUGACCGAGCGACGCCGCGUGUGCGACGAAGGCCUUCGGGUUGUAAAGCACUGUCGAGGGGGAGGAAAGCCGAAAGGUCUGACCUAUCCCUGGAGGAAGCACGGGCUAAGUUCGUGCCAGCAGCCGCGGUAAGACGAACCGUGCGAACGUUGUUCGGAAUCACUGGGCUUAAAGGGCGCGUAGGCGGGCGAUCAAGUCAGGGGUGAAAUCCUCCAGCUUAACUGGAGAACUGCCUCUGAUACUGGUCAUCUUGAGUGAGGUAGGGGCGUGCGGAACUGAUGGUGGAGCGGUGAAAUGUGUUGAUAUCAUCAGGAACUCCGGUGGCGAAAGCGGCGCGCUGGACCUUAACUGACGCUGAGGCGCGAAAGCCAGGGGAGCGAACGGGAUUAGAUACCCGGGUAGUCC